GACGAACGCUGGCGGCGUGCUUAACACAUGCAAGUCGAACGGUAAGGCCCUUCGGGGUACACGAGUGGCGAACGGGCGAGUAACACGUGGGUGAUCUGCCCUGCACUUCGGGAUAAGCCUGGGAAACUGGGUCUAAUACCGGAUAGGACCACUGCCUGCAUGGGUGGGGGUGGAAAGCUUUUGCGGUGUGGGAUGGGCCCGCGGCCUAUCAGCUUGUUGGUGGGGUGAUGGCCUACCAAGGCGACGACGGGUAGCCGGCCUGAGAGGGUGACCGGCCACACUGGGACUGAGAUACGGCCCAGACGCCUACGGGAGGCAGCAGUGGGGAAUAUUGCACAAUGGGCGCAAGCCUGAUGCAGCGACGCCGCGUGAGGGAUGACGGCCUUCGGGUUGUAAACCUCUUUCAGCACCGACGAAGCGCAAGUGACGGUAGGUGCAGAAGAAGGACCGGCCAACUACGUGCCAGCAGCAGCCGCCG
This 478-nucleotide ribosomal RNA is filed under the name uncultured bacterium. Its description in RNAcentral is "partial 16S ribosomal RNA". It matches the Rfam family "Bacterial small subunit ribosomal RNA", at positions 28 to 523 of the family's 1533-position model. The record is from RNAcentral.